CGCGAAUGGCUCAUUACAACAGCUAUAAUUUACUUGAUCUUGACAACCUACUUGGAUAACUGUGGUAAUUCUAGAGCUAAUACAUGCACCAAAGCUCCGACCGUAAGGGAAGAGCGCAUUUAUUAGAACAAAACCAAGCGGCUUCGGCCGUCCAAUGUUGACUCAGAAUAACUAAGCUGAUCGCACGGUCUUGUACCGACGACAUGUCAUUCAAGUGUCUGAUCUAUCAACUUUCUAUAUAAGUAUAUAGUACUUAUAUGGUUUUGACGGAUAACGGGGUAUUAGGGUACGACUCCGGAGAAAAUGCCUGAGAAACGGCGUUUACAUCCAAGGAAGGCAGCAGGCGCGCAAAUUACCCACUCUCAGAAUGAGGAGGUAGUGACGAGAAAUAACGAGACCGUUCUCUCUGAGGCCGGUCAUCGGAAUGGGUACAAUCUAAACCCUUUAACGAGUAUCUAUGAGAGGGCAAGUCUGGUGCCAGCAGCCGCGGUAAUUCCAGCU
Molecule: ribosomal RNA, 501 nt
Filed under: Tylenchorhynchus iphilus
Lineage: Eukaryota; Metazoa; Nematoda; Chromadorea; Rhabditida; Telotylenchidae
Description: bacterial SSU rRNA
Rfam family: Eukaryotic small subunit ribosomal RNA
Source: RNAcentral